RNAcentral lists this ribosomal RNA (551 nucleotides) under uncultured archaeon. RNAcentral describes it as "bacterial SSU rRNA". It matches the Rfam family "Archaeal small subunit ribosomal RNA", at positions 775 to 1323 of the family's 1478-position model. The record is from RNAcentral.
UGUGCAUUUCCGAGAGGAUGCGCAGUGACGUAGCGAAGNUGUAAAGCUCGCCGCCUGGGAAGUACGGUCGCAAGGCCGAAACUUAAAGGAAUUGGCGGGGGAGCACCACAAGGGGUGCGGCGUGCGGUUUAAUCCAAUUCAACGCGGAAAAUCUCACCAGCAGCGACGGCAGGAUGAAAGUCAGGCUGAAGGUCUUACUUGACAAGCCGAGAGGUAGUGCAUGGCCGUCGUCAGCUCGUGCUGUAGGGUGUCCUGUUAAGUCAGGCAACGAGCGAGACCUGUACCCACAAUUGCCAGCAGCUUCUUCGGAAGGACUGGGCACUUUGUGGGGACUGCUCCCGAAAGGGAGAGGAAGGCGCAGGCUACGGUAGGUCUGUAUGCUCCGAAUCUGCUGGGCUACACGCGCGCAACAAUGGUAGGGACAAUGGGAUGCGACACCGAAAGGUGAAGCAAAUCCUCUAAACCCUAUCUUAGUCCAGAUUGAGGGUUGUAACUCACCCUCAUGACGCUGGAAUCCCUAGUAAUGNGGAGUUCAUCAUACUACUGGGAAU